CGUGCAGGCGGCCUGGUAAGUCCCGUGUAAAAGCCUACGGCUCAACUGUAGGAGGCCGCGGGAUACUGUCGGGCUGGAGGGCAGGAGAGGGAAGUGGAAUUCCCGGUGUAGCGGUGAAAUGCGUAGAUAUCGGGAGGAACGCCAGUGGCGAAGGCGGCUUCCUGGCCUGUCCCUGACGCUGAGACGCGAAAGCUGGGGGGAGCGAACG
RNAcentral lists this ribosomal RNA (208 nucleotides) under uncultured bacterium. RNAcentral describes it as "partial 16S ribosomal RNA". It matches the Rfam family "Bacterial small subunit ribosomal RNA", at positions 568 to 774 of the family's 1533-position model. The record is from RNAcentral.